This 1391-nucleotide ribosomal RNA is filed under the name metagenome. RNAcentral describes it as "SSU rRNA". It matches the Rfam family "Eukaryotic small subunit ribosomal RNA", at positions 1 to 1359 of the family's 1831-position model. The record is from RNAcentral.
UCUGGUUGAUCCUGCCAGUAGUGAUAUGCUUGUUUCAAAGAUUAAGCCAUGCGUGUCUAAGUAUAAGCGAACUUAUACAGUGAAACUGCGGAUGGCUCAUUAAAACAGUUUGAAUUUAUUUGAUGAAUGUAUGAGAAUAUUACUUGGAUAACCGUAGUAAUUCUAGAGCUAAUACAUGCAACGACGCCCGACCGUUUCACUACGGAAGUGCUGUAUUUAUUGGAUACCAAAACCAUCCUUCCCUCGGGAAGUUUUGUUUGAUGAUUCACAAUAACUGAUCGGAUCGCCACUGUGGUGGCGACAGGUCAUUCAACAUUCUGCCCUAUCAGCUUUCGAUGGUUGUGUAGUGGACAACCAUGGCCAUAACGGGUAACGGAGAAUCAGGGUUCGAUUCCGGAGAAGGAGCUUGAGAAUUGGCUACUACAUCUAAGGAAGGCAGCAGGCGCGCAAAUUACCCAAUCCCGAUUCGGGGAGGUAGUGACAAAAAAUAACAAUACCGGGCCUUUUUGGGCUUGGUAAUUGGAAUGAGGGAGAGUUAAACGGACCAUCGAGUAUCCAUUGGAGGGCAAGUCUGGUGCCAGCAGCUGCGGUAAUACCAGCUCCAAUAGCGUAUAUUAAAGUUGUUGCAGUUAAAAAGCUCGUAGUUGGACUUGUGUGCGCUGUCCGCGGGUGGCCUGCGCCCAAAAGGGCGUUUCGGUUCGGCCCCGGUGGCGCCUUGAAAUCUGCAGCUGGGGGGACGUUGGCCUUAACUGGUCGGCGACCGCACGCCGGCUGCUCGGUUACUGUGAGAAAAUUAGAGUGUUCAAGGCAGGCAUUGGGUGCAAUUGAAUACAUUAGCAUGGAAUAAUAAAAUAUGGCUCCUGCCGUAUUUUGUUGGUUUUGACUGGUGGGAGUAAUGAUUGAUAGGGACGGUUGGGGGUGCUAGUAUUGAGCGGCCAGAGGUGAAAUUCAUGGAUUCGCUCAAGACUAACUUAUGCGAAAGCAUUCACCAAGGACGUCCUCUUUAAUCAAGAACGAAAGUUGGGGGAUCGAAGACGAUCAGAUACCGUCGUAGUCUCAACCAUAAACUAUGUCGACUUGGGAUCGGCGGUAGUUUUUUCAUUAAGACACUGUCGGGACCACGGGAGAAAUCAAAGUGUCUGGACUCUGGGGGAAGUAUGGUCGCAAGGCUGAAACUUGAAGGAAUUGACGGAAGGGCACCACCAGGAGUGGAGCCUGCGGCUUAAUUUGACCCAACACGGGGAAACUUACCAGGUCCAGAGAUAUAGAGGAUUGACAGAUUGAAGCUCUUUCUUGAUCACUUCGGUGGUGGUGCAUGGCCGUUCUUAGUUGGUGGAGUGAUUUGUCUCGUUAAUUCCGUUAACGAACGAGACCUCAGCCUGCUAGUGUAG